Molecule: ribosomal RNA, 484 nt
Filed under: uncultured bacterium
Lineage: Bacteria
Description: partial 16S ribosomal RNA
Rfam family: Bacterial small subunit ribosomal RNA
Source: RNAcentral
AUUGAACGCUGGCGGCAGGCCUAACACAUGCAAGUCGAGCGGAUGAAGGGAGCUUGCUCCUGGAUUCAGCGGCGGACGGGUGAGUAAUGCCUAGGAAUCUGCCUUGUAUUGGGGGAUAACGUCCGGACACGGGCGCUAAUACCGCAUACGUCCUGAGGGAGAAAGUGGGGGAUCUUCGGACCUCACGCUAUCAGAUGAGCCUAGGUCGGAUUAGCUAGUUGGUGGGGUAAAGGCCUACCAAGGCGACGAUCCGUAACUGGUCUGAGAGGAUGAUCAGUCACACUGGAACUGAGACACGGUCCAGACUCCUACGGGAGGCAGCAGUGGGGAAUAUUGGACAAUGGGCGAAAGCCUGAUCCAGCCAUGCCGCGUGUGUGAAGAAGGUCUUCGGAUUGUAAAGCACUUUAAGUUGGGAGGAAGGGCAGUAAGUUAAUACCUUGCUGUUUUGACGUUACCAACAGAAUAAGCACCGGCUAACUUCGUG